This 516-nucleotide ribosomal RNA is filed under the name uncultured bacterium. RNAcentral describes it as "partial 16S ribosomal RNA". It matches the Rfam family "Bacterial small subunit ribosomal RNA", at positions 28 to 523 of the family's 1533-position model. The record is from RNAcentral.
GACGAACGCUGGCGGCGUGCCUAACACAUGCAAGUCGAACGGAGUGUUUAUUUAUAAACACUCAGUGGCGAACGGGCGAGUAACGCGUAGACAAACUACCCUCUAGAUGGGGACAACACCGCGAAAGUGGCGCUAAUACCGAAUGAUGUAAUGUUGUUGCAUAACGAUCUUACUAAAGGCGGCCUCGAUAUAUAAGCUACCGCAAGAAGAUGGGUCUGCGUCGGAUGAGCGAGUUGGUGAGAUAACAGCUCACCAAGGCAAUGAUCAGUAGCGCGUCUGGGAGGAUGAACGGCCACACUGGGGGUGAGACACGGCCCAGACUCCUGCAGGGGGCAGCAGUGGAGAAUCUUCCGCAAUGGACGAAAGUCUGACGGAGCAACGCCGCGUGAGUGAAGAAGGUUUUCGGAUCGUAAAGCUAUGUCUUCAAGGGCGAAUGUAAAGCUUGUGAAUAAUGAUAUGUAAUGACGGUACUUGAGGAGGAAGCCACGGCUAACUACGUGCCAGCCGCCGCUGUAA